UACCAACUGUGUGGAGGAGGGAUGGGGGCUGUGCACGAUCACAGAAGACUUGUAACAUGUGGACAUGCCAACAGUUUUGUUGUCAUUACUUAGAAUUCCUCAUAGGAGAGACAGAAACUACAA
Molecule: long non-coding RNA, 123 nt
Organism: Etheostoma cragini (Arkansas darter)
Lineage: Eukaryota; Metazoa; Chordata; Actinopteri; Perciformes; Percidae
Exons: 3
Source: RefSeq, a predicted model, not a curated record